CAGUAGCCGCGGUAAUACGUAGGUGGCAAGCGUUGUCCGGAAUUAUUGGGCGUAAAGGGCUCGCAGGCGGUUUCUUAAGUCUGAUGUGAAAGCCCCCGGCUCAACCGGGGAGGGUCAUUGGAAACUGGGAAACUUGAGUGCAGAAGAGGAGAGUGGAAUUCCACAUGUAGCGGUGAAAUGCGUAGAGAUGUGGAGGAACACCAGUGGCGAAGGCGACUCUCUGGUCUGUAACUGACGCUGAGGAGCGAAAGCGUGGGGAGCGAACAGGAUUAGAGACCCCUGUAGUCCCUGUCUCUUAUAC
Molecule: ribosomal RNA, 301 nt
Filed under: uncultured bacterium
Lineage: Bacteria
Description: partial 16S ribosomal RNA
Rfam family: Bacterial small subunit ribosomal RNA
Source: RNAcentral